UAGUGGAGCGGUUUAACACGCCUGCCUGUCACGCAGGAGAUCGCGGGUUCGAUUCCCG
This 58-nucleotide transfer RNA is filed under the name Staphylococcus pseudintermedius. Its description in RNAcentral is "tRNA-Asp". It matches the Rfam family "tRNA", at positions 8 to 62 of the family's 71-position model. Rfam says of the family: Transfer RNA (tRNA) molecules are approximately 80 nucleotides in length. Their secondary structure includes four short double-helical elements and three loops (D, anti-codon, and T loops). Lineage: Bacteria; Bacillati; Bacillota; Bacilli; Caryophanales; Staphylococcaceae. The record is from RNAcentral.